RNAcentral lists this transfer RNA (73 nucleotides) under Paenibacillus sp. FSL K6-0276. RNAcentral describes it as "tRNA-Phe". It matches the Rfam family "tRNA". Rfam says of the family: Transfer RNA (tRNA) molecules are approximately 80 nucleotides in length. Their secondary structure includes four short double-helical elements and three loops (D, anti-codon, and T loops). Further hydrogen bonds mediate the characteristic L-shaped molecular structure. tRNAs have two regions of fundamental functional importance: the anti-codon, which is responsible for specific mRNA codon recognition, and the 3' end, to which the tRNAs corresponding amino acid is attached (by aminoacyl-tRNA synthetases). tRNAs cope with the degeneracy of the genetic code in two manners: having more than one tRNA (with a specific anti-codon) for a particular amino acid; and 'wobble' base-pairing, i.e. permitting non-standard base-pairing at the 3rd anti-codon position. Lineage: Bacteria; Bacillati; Bacillota; Bacilli; Caryophanales; Paenibacillaceae. RNAcentral also lists the same sequence under 3 other names. The record is from RNAcentral.
GGCUCGGUAGCUCAGUCGGUAGAGCAUAGGACUGAAAAUCCUAGUGUCGGCGGUUCGAUCCCGUCCCGAGCCA